AAAACUUUCAACAACGGAUCUCUUGGUUCUGGCAUCGAUGAAGAACGCAGCGAAAUGCGAUACGUAGUGUGAAUUGCAGAAUUCAGUGAAUCAUCGAAUCUUUGAACGCACAUUGCGCCCUUUGGUAUUCCAAAGGGCAUGCCUGUUCGAGCGUCAUUU
This 159-nucleotide ribosomal RNA is filed under the name Alternaria tenuissima. RNAcentral describes it as "5.8S ribosomal RNA". It matches the Rfam family "5.8S ribosomal RNA". Rfam says of the family: 5.8S ribosomal RNA (5.8S rRNA) is a component of the large subunit of the eukaryotic ribosome. It is transcribed by RNA polymerase I as part of the 45S precursor that also contains 18S and 28S rRNA. Lineage: Eukaryota; Fungi; Ascomycota; Dothideomycetes; Pleosporales; Pleosporaceae. The record is from RNAcentral.